UUUACUUUUAAUUUUGCAAAGAACCCAGGACAAAAAGGAUUAGAUCUAGAAAUGGCCAUUGCUUACUGGAACUUAGUGCUUAAUGGAAGAUUUAAAUUCUUAGACUUAUGGAAUAAAUUUUUGUUGGAGCAUCAUAAACGAUCAAUACCAAAAGACACGUGGAAUCUUCUGUUAGACUUCAGUUCAAUGAUUGCAGAUGACAUGUCCAAUUACGAUGAAGAAGGAGCAUGGCCUGUUCUUAUUGAUGACUUUGUGGAAUUUGCACGCCCUCAAAUUUCUGGGACAAAAAGUACAACAGUGUAGCACUAAAGGAACCUUCUAGAAUGUACAUAGUCUGUACAAUAAACACAACGGAAAAAUGCACAGUCAAUUUCUGCUGGCUGGACUGAACUGAAGAUCAAUCCUCAUAGUUCAAACUGAGGGUUGAGACAAAACUUUAAGGAUACAUCUCGGACCUACCGUACUCCAUUCUUCUGCUGGUGGUUUGGGCUUGUCUUCUAGUCUGGGCCACUCUAAACAUUUAUAAUCCAACAUUGUGGAUUCCAUCUUAAACCUGUGGACCAUCUUAGUUUGUCUUCCCAUAAGUCAUAGACGCUUGAUGGGGAUUAUUUUGAGGUUUCCAUUCUUGCAUAAAGCACAAUGCUGUCUUCAUCAGAAAACAGUUUGGCAUAAGAAUUAAACAUAAUAAUGAACACCACAAACAAUUUAUAAAAACUUGUUAAGUAUAUGCUUUGGGCUAGUUGCAAAGACUAUGCUGUAGCACUUCAACUGAGAGUGUUAUCUGAGUGUACCGCAUCUGGAGUGGUGUUUGAUUUGGGGGAAUUUAGUUUUCCUGGCAAACCAUAUGCACUGUUGGUGUGAGUAGAAUACCUGAUAAAGACGUGUCAAAAUAACCAACACAUAAAAAAAGGAUAAUUUGAUGACUCCCUGAAAUAUGCCCUGUGUUUCAGACUCUCGCGAAGGUUCUACAAAACAAGUCUGUGGCUGUCUUACCCGUGUGUACACAGUGUCCUACAGUGAGCUUUGAUUUAAAGUAUUGUAAUGAGACGGAAUGUUAGACCCCACUCAUGUGCACCCAUACACCACAUCAUUGGAUUCCAUUACGCUUGGAGAGGCUUCUAUGCCUUUCGAAUAAGUUAAACUAUUUCAUUGGUUUUGAAUGUUUUGGAUUGCUAUACAAUAUAAUACUCUAAAUUUAGGCAUGAGGGUUUUAGGUUUGGGGUUUUUUUUGUUUUUGUUUUUGUUUUUUAAUUUUUUGUCAUCGCACAAUGGAACACAAUGCAAUUCACUUAAUUUAUAAGAAGACAGUAAGAUUUGAGUUCUUGGUAUUGUUUUCAGAUUGAUUGAUUCAGAUACGAUUUGUUUUCAAAUGAGACUCCAUUAGCUUCUUUCCCUGCCUCAUAAAUUUUUUUUUCAUAAAAAUCUUGAUAUUUGUGUGUGGCCUAAUGCUUUGGGUUUUACAGAUUUUAUUUUUAAAUGCAAGACUUUGGAACAAAAUAGUGAUUGUCAUCAGUUUGGCACUAAACAUUUACAAUUACUGUGUAAUUAUAAACAAAAAUAUAUAAAGCUUUUGAUUAUGUAGCAAAAAACGUUAAGGCUGUUCACAGUGAUGGCAUCUUAGAAUUAAAACCAUUGCUAGGGCUCAAACAAGAAAGUUGAUUUAAUGUGUUUAUUCUGAGGGUGAAUGUCUGGUUAUAGGGAAUGUUUUGUACUAAAAAUGCUUACCCUGCUGGGGGAGGGGCGUCGGUGAGUCUGAGAGAGAGGCCAUGUGCGUACACAGCGAGCUCUACUGCUUCAGUUCAUGGGGUCUUUGGGUGAGGUUUCCAAGCUGAUUACUUUCUUUUUUUAGACAGAGCCACAAGGAGAGUUUACUUUUUGCCAAAUGUCAUAACAGGUACACAUUUUUAAAUGUAAAGCUUUUUAAAUAGUAAAAUGUAUAAAAUGAGAAGUACCCACAUAUAAAAAUACUUGGUCAAGGUUCUCUUCAUCUGCAUAUCUCUGUAAGUUCAAGUGUGUCUUUCCAACCCCUGUCAUAUUACCCACGGAGGCAAUAAAAGCUUCAGUAAAUUUGCCAUGACU
This 2079-nucleotide long non-coding RNA is filed under the name Rattus norvegicus (Norway rat). Its description in RNAcentral is "long non-coding RNA NONRATT016334". Lineage: Eukaryota; Metazoa; Chordata; Mammalia; Rodentia; Muridae. The record is from RNAcentral.